This 3064-nucleotide long non-coding RNA is filed under the name Sus scrofa (pig). Its description in RNAcentral is "lncRNA (ENSSSCG00005029697.1)". The record is from RNAcentral. Lineage: Eukaryota; Metazoa; Chordata; Mammalia; Artiodactyla; Suidae.
AUGUUUUUGGAAAAAAAUACGUAGAAUAGUGAUUGAGAAAUUGAUUCUUUUUUUUUUUUUUUUUGCAGUAGCUGAUUUUAUCGUUUUUGGUUUGAUAACCUCAGUAAAUUGAAUUCUGGAAAGGAUACUUGGCGUUUUAGGAUUGUAGUCCUCCAAAAAAUGUGCAGGCCUUGUACUCUUGUGAAUUGACCGUUUAGAUGAUCAGACUCUUCUUUGGUGUUUCGAGUUUAGAGAUUUUUAUCUGUAUGAGGUAGUUGGUAAUUUUAUAGAAAUAGAGUGCUUAGGUUGGGAGGUGUUCAGACAUUACAGUGUGUGAUUUAUACCCGGGUCUUUAGUUAGAAUGUUUCCGUGGGGGAGGGAGUGAGAUGGGCUGGAAAUCUGGGGUUAAUAGCUGCAAACUUUUGCCUUUGGAACAGAUGAGCAGUGAGAUCCUGCUGUGCACACAGGAUGUAGGAACUGUAUCUGGUCACUUACGAUGGAGCAUGAUAAUGCGAGAAAAGGGAGGGUACACAUGGAUGUGUGACUGCGUCACCUUGCUGUGUGUACAGUCGAAAGUGGGCAGCACACUGUAAACCAGCCUCAACGGAAAAAUACCAAUCAUUAUUAAAAAAGAGCUUCCAUUAACCUGUCCACAGUGUAGCAGCCGCUCGACACUGAGAGAGUGUUACUCCCUCCGUCUGACCAGCCAGGCCUCAGCCGGAGGACUUCUCCGUCUGCCUUGGUUCGAGCACUUGUCUUCCAGCAUCAGAAGGCGGCCUCCAGUGUAGACGAACAGCAUGGGAUAGCAGAGUUCAGAAUUACUCAUUCAGAUACAGUUUUCCUCCUUUUUGUUCAUUCUCCACAGGUUGAACUGGUUUAAAGCUGUUGUGAUAAAUUCGUGUUGUAGCUCCAGAGAUUUUGCCAGAGAACCGUUUUUAAGAGUAGUGUCUGUCCUGCAGGGUGGCUCAGGUUCCCACACUGCUCAGAACCCGGCGCCCCGUGAUGGACCAUUUGAGUUAUAAGGCAGCAUUGAGGAGCUUGUUGGGAGAUGUGUCUGGGAUUGCUGUGUGAGGAGUGCUUACUUUUUUUUUUUUUUUUAAGGGAAAUAUGUUUCUGCAUCCAAGGCUGAUAGUGGUUGGUUUGACUGUUCUACCCCUGGGAUGAUUUCAGGAGUAGAAAGUUAUCUGUUGCAGAAUUGCUGCAGGAAAUUGCUCUCCUGCAGCCUUAGCUUACGUUGCAUGGCAUCUCCUAGACGACGGAACACUUGGCCUUCCUAAACUGCACUUGUGAGAUUGUUCCUUGAGCCCUACCCUUAUUAAUGGGAAGUGAAGAAUUUUGUGUUGGACUGUUAUGAAAAUUUCAAGGUUUUCGUUGGACAGCCACUGGUUUUCUCCCCUGAAAACCUUAGGAGUUCCCAUUGUGGCUCAGUGGAGACAAACCCGACUAGUAUCCAUGAGGAUGCGGGUUCGAUCCCUGGCCCAGCUCAGUGGGCUAAGGAUCCGGCGUUGCUGUGAGCUUUGGUGUAGGUCACAGAUGUGGCUUGGAUCCUGAGUUGGCUAUAGCUGUGGUGUAGGCUUGCGGCUACGGGUCUGAUUGGAUCCGACCCCUAGCCCGGGAACUUCCAAGUGCUGUACCUGUGGCCCGUGGGGGGUGGGGGAGGCAAGAAAACCUAAAAAGAUCACUUUGUAAACUUCACUUUUUGAUAUUGGCCACUUUCUGUGUGGGCUUAAAUUUUCUCUUACAAGUAUAUUCUGUCAGCUAUUGUUAAUUUAAUGGGUCAGUGGGACUUUUUUUUUAAAUGUAUGUACUGUGCAUUUUAUUAUUAUCCUAAAAAACCUGUUCAGAAACAAGAUGAUUUCUGUGUACGUUUUGUGGUAGGAAGGUCAAUAUAAUACAUAAUUUCAGUACUGUACAUUAUAAGUACAAAGGUUGUAAGAAUGAAGUUGUGGAGUUCUCAUUGUGGCACAGCCUGAACAAAUCUGAUUAGCAUCCAUGAGGAUGUGGGUUUGAUCCCCGGCCUCGCUCAGUGGGUUAAGCAUUGGGCAGACAGCUCGGAUUCUACGUUGCUGUGGCUGUUGUGUAGGCUAGGAGCUCGAUUACCCCAUAGCCUGGAACUUCCAAAGGUUGCAUGUGCAGCCCUAGAAGGCAAAAAAAAAAAAAAAAUGCAGUUGGGGUAUUGCACUGAACAAAAUGGACAAAAGGCCUUGCCUUCAUGUGUUUUCCACUGCUGGAGACAAACAAGUUAGAUAGUAGUAGGUGUUUUUGAUUUUAUUUUUUUUGUCUUUUUCAGGGCCGAGCCCUCAGCAUGUGGAGGUUCCCAGGCAAGGGGUCUAAUCGGAGCUGUAGCCGCCGGCCUACACCACAGCCACAGCAACUUGGGAUCCGAGCCGAGUCUGCGCCCUACCCCACAGCUCACGGCGACGCCGGAUCCCUAACCGACUGAGUGAGGCCAGGAAUCGAACCUGCAACCUCAUGGAUGCUAGUUGGGUUCAUUCAUUAACCACUGAGCCACGAGGGGAACUCUUUGGGGGGGGGGGGCAGCAUAUGGAGGUUCCCAGGAUAGGGGUUGACCUGAACCUCCACCACAGCUCACAGCAACCCCAGAUCCCUAACCUGCUGAGCGAGGCCAGGGCUCAAAUGCACGUCCUUGUGGAGACUGGUCUGUGGAGACUGGUCGUCGGGUUCGUUACUGCUGAGCCAUCGCGGGAACUCCCGUGGUAGGUGCCUUUGAGAAGAGAAGUAGAGGGCAGGAACAGGGCCUGGCGGUUGCGGGUUUAAAUAGGGUGGAGAGGGAGAAGCCUUACCGACGUGGCGGCAAGACCUGGGAUUAAGAAGAACUUGAGAGUCCGUUAUGACUCAGCGGUGAGCGAAGCCGACUAGCAUCCACGAGGACUCAGGUUCGAUCCCUGGCCUUGCUCAGUGGGAUGGGGAUCCAGCAUUGCUGUGAGCUGUGGUGUAGGUCCCAGACGAGGCUCUGAUCCCACCUGCCUGUGUCUCUGGCGAAGGCCGGCAGCUACAGCUCCCACUGAACCCCUAGCCUGGGAACUUCUGUAUGCUGUGGGUGCCGCCCUAAAGAGACAAAAGG